GCCGAAGUGGCGAAAUGGCAGACGCAGCUGACUCAAAAUCAGCCGGAGCAAACACUCCGUGUCGGUUCGACUCCGACCUUCGGCACCA
Molecule: transfer RNA, 88 nt
Filed under: Candidatus Melainabacteria bacterium
Lineage: Bacteria; Bacillati; Candidatus Melainabacteria
Also listed under: 1 other name
Description: tRNA-Leu
Rfam family: tRNA
About the family: Transfer RNA (tRNA) molecules are approximately 80 nucleotides in length. Their secondary structure includes four short double-helical elements and three loops (D, anti-codon, and T loops). Further hydrogen bonds mediate the characteristic L-shaped molecular structure. tRNAs have two regions of fundamental functional importance: the anti-codon, which is responsible for specific mRNA codon recognition, and the 3' end, to which the tRNAs corresponding amino acid is attached (by aminoacyl-tRNA synthetases). tRNAs cope with the degeneracy of the genetic code in two manners: having more than one tRNA (with a specific anti-codon) for a particular amino acid; and 'wobble' base-pairing, i.e. permitting non-standard base-pairing at the 3rd anti-codon position.
Source: RNAcentral